Maniola jurtina (meadow brown) is the source of this 3488-nucleotide long non-coding RNA. RefSeq lists it as uncharacterized. The record is from RefSeq and is a predicted model, not a curated record. Lineage: Eukaryota; Metazoa; Arthropoda; Insecta; Lepidoptera; Nymphalidae. The transcript is spliced from 2 exons.
ACGUUGUCACGUCAAAAACUGCCAUUCGAUGAUAGAAGGAUGAUGAUAAUGAAAUUAAACUACAACUAUUUUGAAAAAUCAAUACCAUUGGGGAGGCGGUAUUUCAUACCCUGAUCCUAUUGUACCCUGACUAAAAAACAUUGCUAAAGUCUAAUAAGCUAAACAGUUUUAUUCUAGCAACAGUUGCGAUAAAAUAAAAUUUUACCAAAAUAAAUGACGUUAUAUUAACCGGUGAAUACAUAUAUAAACUUUUUUUGACAUGACUUACAUACCUGAUUAUACUGUUUGAAAUUAUAGUUUAUCUGUACAAAAAUGUAUAAAAAAAAACUUCAUUGUGAAAAGAACCUAUAUACUAUGCAAAAUCUCAAAUAUAAACCCUUAAAAUGUUAAAUAUACGUCAGUUUUUCCUCUUAUAUAAUUAUAUUAUAUAAAGAUUAAUUUUAGGAAGUUUUCAGUUAGUCUAGUACAAUCGCUGUUACAACCAUAAAUAUUAAAUAUACAUAAAUAAUAACUAAACAAUUCUUCUAGUACAUAAAUUGUUAAUAUCCAAUUUUAAAAGCAGACACUAUCUGUUUUUGGAUUACAUUUUUUUAACUCCUAGAAAAGCUUAAUAAAUGAUCAAAAUAUCAAUGUAAUCCAAAAAUGGAUGGUUAAUCAAUAUUAAUAAUAGUUACAUGGGCAAUUGAAUAUAUUUUUACUGGUGGUAACCUGCCGAAAAAAAAAUGGAUCGAAUGUAUCUUGCUUUAAAGUCGAAUAUACUCUGAACUACUGAUUUCUUUAUUUCUUAAAGGAAAUUUAUGACUGUUGAAAUUUAAGCAAAAUUAAGCUUUAAAACAAAGUGGUUUAGAUUCAUUUAACUCAACUUCAAUAUUCUAAAUACAACGUUGACGAUGUACAAACGAUGUAUCGAGACACUAUAACGUCAAAGCAAAAUAGACCUCAGAUCUGAUAUUUUAAGGAUCAAAUUCAUCCAUACACGUACCGCCAGUGCAGAAACAUCGUAAAACAAAAAUUGGAAGUACUGAAAAAACUACAUUAUAACUUAUAGAUUUUAGAUCAAUUUUACUCUGAUCGUUCGAUUCGAUGUCAUACUGAAUUUAUAUUCGAUUGCCCUUAGUCGAUAAUGCAACGGUUGUGAGAGAGGCCUAAACGUAGUCACUCAUUACUUUACGUUCCCGGAUAUACUGCCUAUUGUGUUCCUACGGUACUCUGUAAUGCCCGGUCUUCACUCGUGCCAAACUUGCGAACGCUGUCAAAAUUUGCGUCUAUCGAAGACAGCAAAACCGAAAUUGGAUGGAGAACUUCGUGAAGCCGCGACUACUCAAUAGAGAUGAUGACUUUUAGUCAAAUCAGCAACGUCAAAUGUCAAAACGCUCGCUUAGUAUGGGAGCUUGUAUGAAAUACACAGAAUAAAUGUGACGUCAUACACAUUUGACGUACUUUUUUUUAGUUAAAUCGAUAUUUCAAAAUGGUUGGCAAACUUAAAACUAGCAGUGAGUGUGGAUUUUACGAAUUUCGGAAGACCCUCUAUUUAAUGAUUACUAAUGAAUAAUUUAUUUUUGACCUAAGCAUCAUCCCCAUAGUUACGCAGCGUGGCGCGAGUGUCGAGCGGGUUUAAUCAGACUACUGUCACAGUUUAGCUACCAUACAGUGCGAAAAUAACGAUAAUUAGAUAAAAGUGGAAGUCAUGCCAUUGUUUUUAAUUUUUGAAAUAUAUUGGAUUUCGCAAUUCAAGAAUGAAUAGUAAACAGGUAUUUGAUUUAGGGCUGUACUUAAUAAUCUGCGCUUCGAAAAAUCAAGACUAUUCUCUUAUAAGCUAAAAUUUAAUUUCUGAACUGUAUGAUCACUAAACUGUGUGCUAUUUGUGCAAUUUUUACCGAGCGUUUUUCGAAUCCGAAGUUAUUUCUACACUCUGUUAUCGUUUGUUAUUAUAAUAUCAUGUUGACGUUUUUCAUUGGUCUACAUUUUUUUUUCACUGAAGAUAGUAAUGCUGGAUUUUAAUUUCUUUUCUUCCUCCAUCUCUUUCCGAAACGGGAGAUCAGUCAAAGAAUAUCAGCCGUGAUGUUAUAUCCACCACUAUGUAGACUACAUGAAAAUCUCUGUCAAAACUACUUUUAAACCUGAGCUUGCCCUUUAUCGUUAAUAAAAAGUUAUAUCGUUUCCAAAUAUCAACAUAAUUGCAUUAUUUUUGAGCGUUGACUUACAAAGAUUAGUGCGAAAUAUCACAAAUACUUUGGUUAACUAUUUAAGUUAAAGUUGGCCGACAUUUUAUGUCUGAAAACUAGUAGAAUACUUCUACUAAAUGUCUAAUUUCAAGACAUAGGAACAUAAUAUUAUGUAUGCGUAAGAGUACGUAAAAUACGUACGACUGUGUUAAUACGGCAAUGAUUUGCAGCAAGACGGCACAAAAGAUAUACGUUUUUACUUUUUAGUUGACGACGCAGAAGAUUGUUUGUUAAUCCACGUGUAUAACACAGUUAUUAUAGAUUUUAUUUGUUCCUAUUCGAUAAUCGUAAUUUAACUUAAACGGUUUUUGAUUAGUGGAAUAAGUUUGUGUUUUCCAAAUCGUAUUUGGAUAUUAUGUUAAAGUGUCGUUAUGCUGUUACUUUUGUUGUUUAGUAGGAAAUACGCAUUCUUUACUUCAUUUGUUAAACAUUUUCCCACCCAGUUAAGAUAUUUUAAGAUAAAUCAUAGUUGUUUUCUUUCUAUACGCGAACUGAUUUUUAGUCUUUUCGGACCGGAUAUGCGAUCCAUAUUAUAUUGCUUAAGUUUGAUUGCAUCGUUAAUCUAAUCAAAUUGGAUACGUUUAUUUUCCGGGUAUAACCCGUUGCGUUGUUCUAAUGAAAGGUAAUCGGGCAUUUUGGACCCGCCAACACGAACCUAAAUAGUUUUAAAUCAAAAGUAAAAUUGUAACAAUUCUGUAUGUACAAAUAUUUGAUUCAAAAUCAAUGAGAGAAAAAGUUAUUAAACAUUGAAAAGAGUAUAGGUACAUAUUAUAUCAAUAGUUUUUCUUUCAUAUACAAGUACAAAAAUUAUUUCAACUUUUUCGUGACUCCCAUGAACAACGCGAUCUAUGUCACUGUUAGUAUAUGUAUACCUAUAUACUGACCUAUAUACUGUUAGUUUCGAUUGUGUGGCAUGGUUUCCAUACUGCAGUGUCUUGCCUUUGAACGGAAAAAAUCUUCUGCUCAUGACGUAGAUAAUUGUUUCAGCGCGCAUUUAAGAAUUUUUUUUUUUCGUAGCACAUACGCCUUUGUACAAACGCAGAAGUCGAAUUUAAAGUUAUAAGGUGUUCAAAAUGGUCCGAUUCCACGAAAUAAAUUUUUACAGGAGGAACAAAGAAAAUGAAUUAAAACUAUUUGAAAUUUUAAUGUACCGUUUUGAUUGAAAUCACGAACUUUGGAGUCAAUUUUAGUACAUUUUUAGGUUGUUUUGCUCGAAAAUGAGUUAAGAUUUGUAUUCAGUGGGCCAAAAACGUCCGGAUUAAA